GAAGGCACGACAUUGCUCACAUUGCUUCCAGAGUUUUUAGGCCGGCUAUAUGCCGGCCCUUUUUU
This 65-nucleotide non-coding RNA is filed under the name Oceanimonas baumannii. Lineage: Bacteria; Pseudomonadati; Pseudomonadota; Gammaproteobacteria; Aeromonadales; Aeromonadaceae. The record is from RNAcentral.